GACGAACGCUGGCGGCGUGCUUAACACAUGCAAGUGGAGCGACGAACCAGGCUUCGGCCUGGGGCAAAGCCGCGAACGGGUGAGUAACACGUGGGUAACCUGCCCUGAUGACCGGGACAACCCGAGGAAACUCGGGCUAAUACCGGAUGUGCUCCCACCACAUCAGUGGUGUGAGUAAAGGUAGCUUCGGCCUCCGCAUCGGGAUGGGCCCGCGGCGCAUUAGCUUGUUGGUGGGGUAAAGGCCUACCAAGGCAACGAUGCGUAGCUGGUCUGAGAGGACGAUCAGCCACAUUGGGACUGAGACACGGCCCAAACUCCUACGGGAGGCAGCAGUGGGGAAUAUUGGACAAUGGGCGCAAGCCUGAUCCAGCCAUGCCGCGUGAGUGAUGAAGGCCUUAGGGUUGUAAAGCUCUUUCGACGGGGACGAUAAUGACGGUA
This 438-nucleotide ribosomal RNA is filed under the name uncultured bacterium. Its description in RNAcentral is "bacterial SSU rRNA". It matches the Rfam family "Bacterial small subunit ribosomal RNA", at positions 28 to 477 of the family's 1533-position model. The record is from RNAcentral.